CUCUGAAAAGAGCAAUUGAGAAAGGACAGAUGGGGGAAGAGUAAAGGAACUUGAAGGAACUUCAUACCCAAAAAAGCAAGAACCAAGAACAACACCUCAGCCAAGACUGAGUUAAGUCAAAGAUUUUGCUCUUCUUGUCAAAGUAAAACCCAGUCCUAAUUAACACGAAGCCAAAUGCCACGGCCAAGACUUCAGAAGAACACUCUUGUUGCCAAGUAGAUGCAAAACUGAAAAGAUGAUGGGUUUUUCCAGACUUCGUUAUGAAUUAACAAGGCUACCCAGGUGUAUUUAUCAUUCUGCAACAGACAAAUGUCUUUGCAAAACAGUGGGCCUCCUUCUCAAUCUUCUCUCAUGCCCUCUUUCACUAAGGCCAUCUGAAGAGGAGGGGGAGAUCCAUCCUCAGUCCCUGAGAUAUGUAUGGAUGGAGUGGGCUGCAGCUGCCCACUGGGGACUCCUGGACCAUGGAGAAGCUCCAGGCACCAUCUGCAAGGAGCUAUGGGAUCUGAGAGAGGACCAAAGGGACACUCACACCUUCACAGAACAGCAUUUGGGGACCUUGAGCUCAAACAGCUCUAUGGGUCAGUGCUUGCACAAGUGUCCCACACGAGCCACUGUGCCCUACAGCAAGCAGACGUGGCUCAGAUGGCCUUUUCCACCAAAAGAUGUGGAUUUAAGUGGUCAGAAGAAUGCACGGAUUUGGCAAGUCAUCCGGCCAGAUGAAAAAAUAUACACGAAACUGUGGGUUGUCUCUUUGUGUUGAUGCCUUUUUUUCUUUGGAAAAUUCAACAUCUGCCACAGCUUAUUCACACCAGCAGUACUAAAUCAAAACAAGAGUCAAGGCUAGAAACAAAAACAAAACAAGUCUUUUGUUUCGGGUCAGAUUUCAUUUUAUUUUUUUUCAGUCUCUGCUUUCAGUGGAGGAGGUUCUUCUGUUUAUUUGCCUCGUUUGACUCAGCCCAAAAUUCCCUUUGAUUUUGCAGUGCGAGCUGCUGAACACCACACUGGGUUAUUUGCACAGCUGCUUGCCCCACCACUGAGAACAAGUCCCUCUUGCUGGAGGACGUAGGGGCAACCAUUCAGGGUCACCAUAGAAGUGCCACAUGAAAUGUCCUGUGACAGAUCAGAAGGUCCACCAGUGUCCCCAUCCAACCCUUGGCAUUGUGCAAAGAAAUGAGUGUGGUGAAGCAAAAGAGCUGGAGGGUUCCUCAGUGACAGCUC
Molecule: long non-coding RNA, 1218 nt
Organism: Gallus gallus (chicken)
Lineage: Eukaryota; Metazoa; Chordata; Aves; Galliformes; Phasianidae
Source: Ensembl